Molecule: small nucleolar RNA, 137 nt
Organism: Cavia aperea (Brazilian guinea pig)
Lineage: Eukaryota; Metazoa; Chordata; Mammalia; Rodentia; Caviidae
Source: Ensembl
CUGGCCCUGAAUCAAGGUCGGCAGUUUCCUGACGCUGCUGGUUUCAAGCAGGAGCCUAAAAAGAAGUUUUUCUAUGGUUUGUUGGCCAUUUCAGAACUUGGGCAGUGAAAUGGUCAAUUCNNNAGAAACAGCCUGAA